AAUCUGAUAUUGGAAAGUGAAGUUAUAUCAAUGUUUAUGUAAUUAUUGGAAAUCUAACGAGAAUAAUAAAUGUAUAAGAAAUGUGUAUAUAAAUCAAGUGUCUCACGUGGCUGUGAGCUUCCUGUCAUAAUCUACACAAUUGCCGUCGCCCACUGGGGACACUUACUUUGUAAGGCAAUCAGAUUAUGUUUGGAUAUUUGCCCAAUAAAGUAUUGCGUGCAACGAAAUGAUUGAGAUGAUCGCUUGCAUGUCUUUCCAUGGGGAAACCUAAAGUUGAAGUCUGAUUUUAGGUGACGACCAUGGUAAGAAUCUAGGUUGUGUUUGUUGGGUCUUUUACGUUCUAGUAUUAGACAAUACCAGGGACUACUGUGUAGCAGAGCCAGUGGCAUGGUCGAGUAAGCUGACUGUACGAAGUCAGACGGUCUGGUUGUUUGGAGGUGCAUGAAGCAAACUGGUGCGGCCAAUUGGAGUUGCAUGCACAAGCAGACUGGUAUAGACGUCUGAAAGGUGCAGAAGCGGACUGGCCUAGUUGGCUGGUGGUAUACGACGGUACAACGGUUGGUAGAAGACGGUGGUCGAGAGGUGGUGCGGAGCAAUAUAUCAGACUGGUGUCAACGUCAACGGGGCAGUAUAUUUCUGCCAAACGGAUCCACGGCGAAAAGUUGUACCGGACUAGGAAAACCUACCAGCAGAAGGCAAUCCUGACAAGAUAAGCUGCUGGGAAGAACAUCGACAGGAACCGGUUUCGUUACAUGUGGUGUCAGAAGUGGGAUCCAGUGACAAUGGCACAAGGAAGAAAUAGGCAGAAUCGACCAACGCCAGGAGAAAUGAUGAAGCACUUAGAAAGGAGUAUGACAGAAGUAGAUCAAAUGAUGGAGCAACUACGUGCUUCGAUGAGUCAGGAAUCAGUUGCAGACUCAGAACCAGGUCGCCAGGAGGCAUUU
Molecule: long non-coding RNA, 944 nt
Organism: Strongylocentrotus purpuratus (purple sea urchin)
Lineage: Eukaryota; Metazoa; Echinodermata; Echinoidea; Camarodonta; Strongylocentrotidae
Exons: 2
Source: RefSeq, a predicted model, not a curated record